RNAcentral lists this small nuclear RNA (192 nucleotides) under Phalacrocorax carbo (great cormorant). Its description in RNAcentral is "7SK RNA". It matches the Rfam family "7SK RNA". Rfam says of the family: 7SK was discovered as an abundant small nuclear RNA in the mid-70s but a possible function has only recently been suggested. Two independent studies have found that 7SK RNA binds the CDK9/cyclin T complex (known as elongation factor P-TEFb). The record is from Rfam by way of RNAcentral. Lineage: Eukaryota; Metazoa; Chordata; Aves; Suliformes; Phalacrocoracidae.
GGUUGGAAGGGACCUCAGGGAUCAUCUAGACCAACCUUUGGUCGAAGAGGAUGACCUUCCCCGAUAGAGGCGUACUGUUCAUCGGUCCAAGGGUAUAUGGUAGCUGCGCUACCCUGCUAGAACCUCCAAACAAGCUCAAGAGAAAGGUAGUUGCUUAUAGUGUGUUGUUGCUAGGACAUUGUAACCCUUCCU